UACGUAGGUGGCAAGCGUUGUCCGGAUUUAUUGGGCUUAAAGGGUGCGUAGGCGGCUUUGUAAGUCAGUGGUGAAAUACGGUAGCUUAACUAUCGAGGUGCCAUUGAUACUGCAGAGCUUGAGUACAGAUGAGGUAGGCGGAAUUGACGGUGUAGCGGUGAAAUGCUUAGAUAUCGUCAAGAACACCUAUAGCGAAGGCAGCUUACUAGGCUGUAACUGACGCUGAGGCACGAAAGUGUGGGGAUCAAACAGG
RNAcentral lists this ribosomal RNA (253 nucleotides) under uncultured bacterium. RNAcentral's name for it is "partial 16S ribosomal RNA". It matches the Rfam family "Bacterial small subunit ribosomal RNA", at positions 524 to 776 of the family's 1533-position model. The record is from RNAcentral.